This 221-nucleotide ribosomal RNA is filed under the name Ellychnia californica. RNAcentral describes it as "partial 18S ribosomal RNA". It matches the Rfam family "Eukaryotic small subunit ribosomal RNA", at positions 910 to 1130 of the family's 1831-position model. Lineage: Eukaryota; Metazoa; Arthropoda; Insecta; Coleoptera; Lampyridae. The record is from RNAcentral.
GGUGAAAUUCUUGGACCGUCGCAAGACGGACUUAAGCGAAAGCAUUUGCCAAAAACGCUUUCAUCGAUCAAGAACGAAAGUUAGAGGUUCGAAGGCGAUCAGAUACCGCCCUAGUUCUAACCAUAAACUAUGCCAGCUAGCGAUCCGCCGAAGUUACUUCUAUGACUCGGCGGGCAGCUUCCGGGAAACCAAAGCUUUCGGGUUCCGGGGGAAGUAUGGUU